AGCGAAGCGUUUGAAAACUUCUAGAACAUUCUGCACUUCAACACUAUAAAUAUGCGCUUGGUUUUAAAAAAGAAAUCGAUCAAGAAAAACGUAAACGCAGCGUCUCGUGGCCGUGGAAAGGAGUUUACAAGGUUUACGUUGUUUGCCGGCUUGGGAAUCAAGAUGGCCGCUCAUGGCCGAUCGAAAAUAUCAUCGUCGUCCUGAUCGAUGCUGAUCGAGCUACCGAACAUGUCCUUGUUGCCCAUCGAGAAACGCGGCUUAUCAUCCUCCGGCUGCCGCCAUUCGCCCACCGCCCCCGAGACGCUGCUUUAAGCAUUCGUUUAGUGCUAAUACUACAACUUUUACACAGCCCUGCAAAUUUAUGCCAUAGAUAUUUCCAUAACAUUAGUCAAUCAUUAUCGGUGUUCAUUAAUCCCAAAUCGCAGAAUUAAUUUCCGGUUGGCAGCGGUGUGGUAAGAGAUUAGAGUAAAUGUGACAAACACAAACACACACACAUUGAUAAAAACAAACGACAAUAAACAGAUUAAACACGCAAAACAAAGUUACGGAAAUAUCCAUACGAUAUGACUCGUUUUCGUAAGCACAUAUGGUUUCUGAAUCUAAUGAGCAAACCGCAAAAUUGGUCAUAGUUAAAUUUGCGUCGCUGAGCUUUGGAUCUAUCACUUUGACAUGACCUUGAAUGCACUACUUACUCGAUGUGUUGCAUGCGCGCACGAUGAUCGGAUGAUUUCCCACCGUCCGAACCGGAACUCUUCGCUCGAAUGGCGGUGUUGGAUCCAGGCCUGCCGUCCCACGAAUUGUGCCUUCGAUGGGCGCUCAUUUUCUCAGUUGCCUACUUUGUGGUCAAUUGGGUUGGUCCACACGUUACUAGCACCGGUGCGUUGAUGGCUGCCUAUUUCUGCACUGAUGGCUCCGGUUUGUAUCAGCGGCGACCUAACGCAAGCCCUAGAAUGAACUCCACUUGAAUGGGACAGCAGAUUAGCUCAUCACAAACAAGCGUUUGAAAUUAGAAGGCACUUGGAGCAUUUAAACAUUGCGUUUUGCAUUUCUAUGUUUAUUUCUCGCAAUAGCAGAGAUUUUAUUAUGUGCGUGACAGUGCAAUAUAACCAAAAAGCUGUCAAAAUGGUCCAGGAACCUUCUACUACUCCUGUAACAUAGGCAACUUAAAAUACACUUACGAAUUGACA
Long non-coding RNA from Dalotia coriaria, 1187 nucleotides. RefSeq lists it as uncharacterized. Lineage: Eukaryota; Metazoa; Arthropoda; Insecta; Coleoptera; Staphylinidae. The transcript is spliced from 3 exons. The record is from RefSeq and is a predicted model, not a curated record.